ACCCUUGACCACGGUAUAGUCAGCGACUGGGGUGAAGUCGUAACAAGGUAGCCGUAGGGGAACCUGCGGCUGGAUUACCUCCUUUCUAAGGAUGAAUGAAAGUAAAAUUUCAUUCUAAAUAAUAUACAUCGGUAAUGUUGACCGUCCUCAUUUCUCUUCUUAAAGUAAUGUUUCCUUCUUGUAGGGCCGGUAGCUCAGUUGGUUAGAGCACACCCUUGAUAAGGGUGGGGUCGAAAGUUCGAGUCUUUCUCAGCCCACCAUACUUAACUGGGGGAUUAGCUCAGCUGGGAGAGCGCCUGAUUUGCAUUCAGGAGGUCAGCGGUUCGAUCCCGCUAUCCUCCACCAGGAAACAUUUAGUUAUAAAAACUGUAAAUAAAUUAAUAAUUAAUAUCAAUAUCUAUAUCCGAACAUUAGUAAUGUUAUUAGCUAAUGUUCAAAAUAAAAAUUUGAUCACAACAUAGAUUAAUUUUCUUUUAAAAGAAUUUUUUUCUGUGCAUAAAUCAAGCGUUUAAGGGCGUGUAGUGGAUGCCUUGGCACUGAAAGCCGAUGAAGGACGUGAUAUACUGCGAUAAGUUUCGGGGAGCUGUAUGUAAGUUUUGAUCCGAAAAU
RNAcentral lists this unclassified non-coding RNA (609 nucleotides) under uncultured marine bacterium. RNAcentral's name for it is "partial contains 16S ribosomal RNA, 16S-23S ribosomal RNA intergenic spacer, and 23S ribosomal RNA". The stretch from base 499 to 609 matches the Rfam family "Bacterial large subunit ribosomal RNA", at positions 1 to 111 of the family's 2925-position model. The record is from RNAcentral.